This 464-nucleotide ribosomal RNA is filed under the name uncultured bacterium. RNAcentral's name for it is "partial 16S ribosomal RNA". It matches the Rfam family "Bacterial small subunit ribosomal RNA", at positions 339 to 795 of the family's 1533-position model. The record is from RNAcentral.
CUACGGGCGGCUGCAGUGGGGAAUAUUACACAAUGGGCGCAAGCCUGAUGCAGCCAUGCCGCGUGUAUGAAGAAGGCCUUCGGGUUGUAAAGUACUUUCAGCGGGGAGGAAGGGAGUAAAGUUAAUACCUUUGCUCAUUGACGUUACCCGCAGAAGAAGCACCGGCUAACUCCGUGCCAGCAGCCGCGGUAAUACGGAGGGUGCAAGCGUUAAUCGGAAUUACUGGGCGUAAAGCGCACGCAGGCGGUUUGUUAAGUCAGAUGUGAAAUCCCCGGGCUCAACCUGGGAACUGCAUCUGAUACUGGCAAGCUUGAGUCUCGUAGAGGGGGGUAGAAUUCCAGGUGUAGCGGUGAAAUGCGUAGAGAUCUGGAGGAAUACCGGUGGCGAAGGCGGCCCCCUGGACGAAGACUGACGCUCAGGUGCGAAAGCGUGGGGAGCAAACAGGAUUAGAUACCCCCGUAGUC